AUUGAACGCUAGCGGCAGGCCUAACACAUGCAAGUCGAACGAGUGGCGGACGGGUGUGUAAUGUCUGGGAAACUGCCUGAUGGAGGGGGAUAACUCCUGGAAACGGUAGCUAAUACCGCAUACCAUCAGAUGUCCCCAGAGGGGAUUGGCUUGGUGGUGGGGUUACGGCUCACGAAGGCGACGACCCCUAGCUGGUCUGAGAGGAUGACCAGCCACACUGCAACUGGGACGCGGUCCAGAGUCCUAGGGUAGGCAGCGGCGGUGAAUAUUACCAGAUGUGCGCAAGCCUGAUUCAGCGUGGCCGAGUGUAUGAAGAAGACGUUCGGGUUGGAAAUUACUGUCAGCGGGGAAGAGUUACCCGCUGAAGAAGCACAGGCUAACUCGGUGCCAGCAGCCGCGGUAAUUC
Molecule: ribosomal RNA, 406 nt
Filed under: uncultured bacterium
Lineage: Bacteria
Description: partial 16S ribosomal RNA
Rfam family: Bacterial small subunit ribosomal RNA
Source: RNAcentral